GCAUGGAGGGCUGAUUCUUGUUUGCCAGCACAUUCCGGUUUCUAUGCUUGUGGGCCUGCAGGCUUUCUGCGACUUGUGGCUCUUGUGCAUGGUCUAUGGGUUUGAUUGCUUCCGCUCGGUCCCGGUCGACGCUGGUGUUGGCUUCAUGUGCUUUCUCCGCUGGUGAUGUUGCCGGGGUGCCUCGCCUAGUGUUUCUGUCGUGCUCUUCAGGCCGGUCUCUGGGAUUCCUCGAUGUAGCACCUAUGUGUGCACCAUCAAUAUCUUCAUCCGGGUCGCGGGGGGGAGCGCGGUGGGCGCCGGACCUCUCUCCUUUCGGUCUGGGAGGCUUGUCCGUUCUUGGGGGGUUGAGCACAGUAGGAGGGCGCCUGUACGCUGGAGAUCGGAAGAGC
Molecule: long non-coding RNA, 389 nt
Filed under: Androctonus crassicauda
Lineage: Eukaryota; Metazoa; Arthropoda; Arachnida; Scorpiones; Buthidae
Source: RNAcentral